RNAcentral lists this ribosomal RNA (497 nucleotides) under uncultured bacterium. RNAcentral describes it as "partial 16S ribosomal RNA". It matches the Rfam family "Bacterial small subunit ribosomal RNA", at positions 28 to 507 of the family's 1533-position model. The record is from RNAcentral.
GAUGAACGCUGGCGGCGUGCCUAAUACAUGCAAGUCGAGCGAACAGAUAAGGAGCUUGCUCCUUUGACGUUAGCGGCGGACGGGUGAGUAACACGUGGAUAACCUACCUAUAAGACUGGGAUAACUUCGGGAAACCGGAGCUAAUACCGGAUAACAUAUUGAACCGCAUGGUUCAAUAGUGAAAGGCGGCUUUGCUGUCACUUAUAGAUGGAUCCGCGCCGUAUUAGCUAGUUGGUAAGGUAACGGCUUACCAAGGCAACGAUACGUAGCCGACCUGAGAGGGUGAUCGGCCACACUGGAACUGAGACACGGUCCAGACUCCUACGGGAGGCAGCAGUAGGGAAUCUUCCGCAAUGGGCGAAAGCCUGACGGAGCAACGCCGUGUGAGUGAUGAAGGUCUUCGGAUCGUAAAACUCUGUUAUCAGGGAAGAACAAAUGUGUAAGUAACUGUGCACAUCUUGACGGUACCUGAUCAGAAAGCCACGGCUAACUACGUG